UUUUGGGUUGGUCAGUAUUUUUCGCGACCUGUGUUUUGGGCAUUGGAUUUUGGUGCCAUAUUAAAGUGCACUUUUCCCUGUGGAACUCUCUGCGCCUGAUUCUUACCUCACACUGUCACGACUUCUACCGAAGAAAAACAGAACUGCCGUGUUGACAAGCUGCAGAGGCGUGCCAUUUGGAGUGACGAUUUCCAGUUUGGUAGAGAGUCAACUGUGAGGUCAGCAGACAACAGCAGACAACAGACAACCUGGGCAGAUGGCACUGCCCUGCAGACAACCUGGGCAG
Molecule: non-coding RNA, 286 nt
Organism: Oncorhynchus mykiss (rainbow trout)
Lineage: Eukaryota; Metazoa; Chordata; Actinopteri; Salmoniformes; Salmonidae
Source: RefSeq, a predicted model, not a curated record